CUUGGUGGCGACCGGCGCACGGGUGAGUAACGCGUAUGCAACUUACCUAUCAGAGGGGGAUAGCCCGGCGAAAGUCGGAUUAAUACCCCAUGAAACAGGGGUCCCGCAUGGGAAUAUUUGUUAAAGAUUCAUCGCUGAUAGAUAGGCAUGCGUUCCAUUAGGCAGUUGGCGGGGUAACGGCCCACCAAACCGACGAUGGAUAGGGGUUCUGAGAGGAAGGUCCCCCACAUUGGUACUAAGACACGGACCAA
Molecule: ribosomal RNA, 251 nt
Filed under: uncultured bacterium
Lineage: Bacteria
Description: partial 16S ribosomal RNA
Rfam family: Bacterial small subunit ribosomal RNA
Source: RNAcentral